GGAGAGGUACCGAAGAGGCUGUAACGGGGGCGACUCGAAAUCGUCUGUCCACGUGAGUGGACCGUGGGUUCGAAUCCCACCCUCUCCGCCA
Molecule: transfer RNA, 91 nt
Filed under: Desulfobacteraceae bacterium
Lineage: Bacteria; Pseudomonadati; Thermodesulfobacteriota; Desulfobacteria; Desulfobacterales; Desulfobacteraceae
Description: tRNA-Ser
Rfam family: tRNA
About the family: Transfer RNA (tRNA) molecules are approximately 80 nucleotides in length.
Source: RNAcentral